RNAcentral lists this ribosomal RNA (451 nucleotides) under uncultured bacterium. RNAcentral's name for it is "partial 16S ribosomal RNA". It matches the Rfam family "Bacterial small subunit ribosomal RNA", at positions 29 to 523 of the family's 1533-position model. The record is from RNAcentral.
AGCGAACGCUGGUGGCAGGCUUAACACAUGCAUGUCGAGCGGGCAUAGCAAUAUGUCAGCGGCAGACGGGUGAGUAACGCGUGGGAACGUACCUCUUGGUUCGGAACAACACAGGGAAACUUGUGCUAAUACCGGAUAAGCCCUUACGGGGAAAGAUUUAUCGCCGAAAGAUCGGCCCGCGUCUGAUUAGCUAGUUGGUGAGGUAAUGGCUCACCAAGGCGACGAUCAGUAGCUGGUCUGAGAGGAUGAUCAGCCACAUUGGGACUGAGACACGGCCCAAACUCCUACGGGAGGCAGCAGUGGGGAAUAUUGGACAAUGGGCGCAAGCCUGAUCCAGCCAUGCCGCGUGAGUGAUGAAGGCCCUAGGGUUGUAAAGCUCUUUUGUGCGGGAAGAUAAUGACGGUACCGCAAGAAUAAGCCCCGGCUAACUUCGUGCCAGCCGCCGCCGUAA